AGAGAUGGAUUGGUGCCUUCGGGAACUCUGACACAGGUGCUGCAUGGCUGUCGUCAGCUCGUGUCUGGGAUGUUCGGGUUAAGUCCGUAACGAGCGCAACCCUUGUCCUUAGUUACCAGCACGUUAUGGUGGGCACUCUAAGGAGACUGCCGGUGACAAACCGGAGGAAGGUGGGGAUGACGUCAAGUCAUCAUGGCCCUUACGGCCUGGGCUACACACGUGCUACAAUGGUCGGUACAAAGGGUUGCCAAGCCGCGAGGUGGAGCUAAUCCCAUAAAACCGAUCGUAGUCCGGAUCGCAGUCUGCAACUCGACUGCGUGAAGUCGGAAUCGCUAGUAAUCGUGAAUCAGAAUGUCACGGUGAAUACGUUCCCGGGCCUU
RNAcentral lists this ribosomal RNA (380 nucleotides) under uncultured Pseudomonas sp. Its description in RNAcentral is "bacterial SSU rRNA". It matches the Rfam family "Bacterial small subunit ribosomal RNA", at positions 1002 to 1382 of the family's 1533-position model. The record is from RNAcentral. Lineage: Bacteria; Pseudomonadati; Pseudomonadota; Gammaproteobacteria; Pseudomonadales; Pseudomonadaceae.